CCUGCCCCUAGAGGCAUUGCAGUUGUGGCUGCUGUGCCACAUGUGCUUCAGUAGAGGGCAGAGGAGAGAGGCUAUGUCUACAGUCAGUGUUCUAUCUAUGGAUAUCUGAAUGAUCAGUAGCCUAACUCA
Molecule: small nucleolar RNA, 129 nt
Organism: Apodemus sylvaticus (European woodmouse)
Lineage: Eukaryota; Metazoa; Chordata; Mammalia; Rodentia; Muridae
Product: small nucleolar RNA SNORA17
Exons: 1
Source: RefSeq, a predicted model, not a curated record